GACGUAGGGGACGAGCGUUGUCCGGAUUCAUUGGGCGUAAAGCGCGCGUAGGCGGUUUGGUAAGUCGGAUGUGAAAAACCAGAGGCUCAACCUCUGGCCUGCAUCCGAUACUGCCCCGACUAGAGGUAGGUAGGGGAGAUCGGAAUUCCUGGUGUAGCGGUGAAAUGCGCAGAUAUCAGGAGGAACACCAAUAGCGAAGGCAGCUCGCUGGGGACGGUAUUGACGCUAAGGCGCGAAAAGCGUGGGGGAGCAAACAGG
Molecule: ribosomal RNA, 258 nt
Filed under: uncultured bacterium
Lineage: Bacteria
Description: partial 16S ribosomal RNA
Rfam family: Bacterial small subunit ribosomal RNA
Source: RNAcentral